AACGAACGCUGGCGGCAUGCCUAACACAUGCAAGUCGAACGGCAGCACAGUAAAGACUUCGGUCUUUAUGGGUGGCGAGUGGCGGACGGGUGAGUAACGCGUAGGAAUCUGUCCUGGAGAGUGGGAUAACCCGAGGAAACUCGGGCUAAUACCGCAUGAUAUCGAGAGAUCAAAGGCAGGGGACCCUUCGGGGCCUUGCGCUCUAGGUUGAGCCUACGUCGGAUUAGCUAGUUGGUGGGGUAAAGGCCUACCAAGGCGACGAUCCGUAGCUGGUCUGAGAGGAUGACCAGCCACACUGGGACUGAGACACGGCCCAGACUCCUACGGGAGGCAGCAGUGGGGAAUCUUGGACAAGGGGGGAAACCCUGAUCCAGCGAUGCCGCGUGUGUGAAGAAGGCCUUCGGGUUGUAAAGCACUUUAGGUGGGGAAGAAAGGUAAUGAGUGAAUAACUGAUUGCUUUGACGGUACCCGCAGAAUAAGCACCGGCUAACUCUGUGCCAGCCGCCGCCGUAA
Molecule: ribosomal RNA, 513 nt
Filed under: uncultured bacterium
Lineage: Bacteria
Description: partial 16S ribosomal RNA
Rfam family: Bacterial small subunit ribosomal RNA
Source: RNAcentral